Molecule: ribosomal RNA, 253 nt
Filed under: uncultured bacterium
Lineage: Bacteria
Description: partial 16S ribosomal RNA
Rfam family: Bacterial small subunit ribosomal RNA
Source: RNAcentral
UACGUAGGGAGCGAGCGUUAAUCGGAAUUACUGGGCGUAAAGCGUGCGCAGGCGGCGCGUUAAGACAGGUGUGAAAGCCCCGAGCUUAACUUGGGAAUUGCGCUUGUGACUGGCGUGCUGGAGUGUGGCAGAGGGAGGUGGAAUUCCACGUGUAGCAGUGAAAUGCGUAGAGAUGUGGAGGAACACCGAUGGCGAAGGCAGCCUCCUGGGCCAGCACUGACGCUCAUGCACGAAAGCGUGGGGAGCAAACAGG